ACCCUGACCAGCCAUGCCGCGUGCAGGAAGACGGCCCUCUGGGUUGUAAACUGCUUUUAUUCGGGAAUAAACCUAUCUACGUGUAGAUAGCUGAAUGUACCGAAGGAAUAAGGAUCGGCUAACUCCGUGCCAGCAGCCGCGGUAAUACGGAGGAUCCAAGCGUUAUCCGGAUUUAUUGGGUUUAAAGGGUGCGUAGGCGGCCUGUUAAGUCAGGGGUGAAAGACGGUAGCUCAACUAUCGCAGUGCCCUUGAUACUGAUGGGCUUGAAUGGACUAGAGGUAGGCGGAAUGUGACAAGUAGCGGUGAAAUGCAUAGAUAUGUCACAGAACACCGAUUGCGAAGGCAGCUUACUAUGGUCCUAUUGACGCUGAGGCACGAAAGCGUGGGGAUCAAACAGGAUUAGAUACCCUGGUAGUCCACGCCCUAAACGAUGAAUACUCGCUGUUGGCGAUACACAGUCAGCGGCUAAGCGAAAGCGUUAAGUAUUCCACCUGGGGAGUACGCCCGCAAGGGUGAAACUCAAAGGAAUUGACGGGGGCCCGCACAAGCGGAGGAGCAUGUGGUUUAAUUCGAUGAUACGCGAGGAACCUUACCCGGGCUUGAAAGUUAGUGAAUUAUCCAGAGAUGGAUAAGUGA
Molecule: ribosomal RNA, 636 nt
Filed under: Pedobacter sp. Ri3Ps_6526
Lineage: Bacteria; Pseudomonadati; Bacteroidota; Sphingobacteriia; Sphingobacteriales; Sphingobacteriaceae
Description: bacterial SSU rRNA
Rfam family: Bacterial small subunit ribosomal RNA
Source: RNAcentral